UUACCAGCCGCCAGGCCGCGGGUGACGCACUACGCCUGCGCCGCCGCCCCGCCCCGCCCCGUGACGUCACGACGCCAGCGCCGCCGCCGUCGCCGAGGUCGCCGGCGUCUUUUCCUAAUAGCCUGGGUGAUAGCUGAUGUUCACACAGACUGUCUUCAGUCAUGGCCUUGGGUUUAAGGUGCUUCCGCUUGGUCCAUCCUGCCUUUUGCAAUUCUCUUGCAGCCUGGACCAGACCUGUUUCGGAAGUUGUGCUGAAGACAGUGAAUGGAAGACAAACUGACCACGGGCAGUACGUGGCCUAUGCAGCUAUACCAACCCGUCAUUUUGCUACCAAGAAAGCCAAAGCCAAAGGAAAAGGACAGUCCCAAACCAGAGUGAAUCUUAACACUGCCUUGGUGGAGGAUAUAAUCAGCUUGGAAGAGGUGGAAGAAGAAAUGAAGUCUGUGAUGGAAGCACUCAAGGAUAAUUUCAAUAAGACUGUCAAUAUAAGGACCUCACCAGGAUCCCUUGAUCAUAUCACUGUGGUAACUGCUGAUGGGAAGCUUGCUUUAAACCAGAUUGGUGAGAUCUCCAUGAAGUCGCCACAGCUGAUCUUGGUGAAUAUGGCCAGCUUCCCAGAGGAAGUUAGAGUAUAUCUUCAUUUUUCAACCAAAGCAUCUCUGCCUUCCAAGUUGAAAUUCUGUGGGUUUUAAAGGAGAAAAAAAACCCACAAAAAACUUUUACAAGCAUCUCAGUCAAGAGGUUCGUUACAAGGACAGAAUGAGGAAGUAUGAGAAAACUGAGGCUCCGAGAAGUACAAUAUCUCCCUGAGGUUCACACCGUUGUGACAGAACCAAGAUUUGAACAUAGAUCUGUUUGACACUAAAGCCUGUGCUCCUUUAACCAUUCAUUCAUUAAUUCAACAAAUACUUUUUGAGUUCCUGUAAGAUAUUAAGUUUUAGUUGAGGUGCUGGAAUUAAUUCCUUGAUGAUAAAAACAGACAAGGUUCCUGCUUUCAUAGACCUUACAUUCUAAGGACUCUUUGGGAUAUAAAGGAAAUGGAAGGCCAGUCACUGAAAUGGCACUAACAAAGUUGACUUGAACCCAAAGGGUUAAGGACUUGACCUGUCCAAAAAAGUUUUAUCAUCUCUUGUCCUUUAGCAUAGAUGAACUUAAGAAUGGCAAUAGCAGUCUUUGCUAAUUGAUGACAGCACUCCUUCCUGCCUGGGCCCAGAUGGGAUCUGUGAUCUCUCUCUCCAGAGUUCUCUAAGCAGCCACAAUCAUUUGGUCAGUGUUGCCAUUUGAGAACUUUCUGUUUGCCUUGGGGUACUGGUGAGCAUCCCUCCAGUGAGGGGACAAAGGCUAAGAUAAAAGAUGGAAAUGCGAUAGAAAUAUAUUCCUUUUCAUCUGAGCCCUGAGUAGUUCAGAAGUCAUGUUGGGAAAAUGACUGUAAUUCCCUGAGUUUCUGCAUCCUACCACAUCAAACCAAAAUAUACAUAUUUAGAAUGUUUUAGAACUACCUCUUCUAGUAGGUUUCUUUUCAAAAUGAAAUCUGAUUUGCAUUUUUUCUGCAUAUGAAAGGACACAGAACAAGUAAAGUACAAAAUAAGGAUUUGGGGGGGUUAUAUAUAAGAAGUAAAAGUAAGGAGAUGAGUUUGUCUAAUAGAUCUGAGUCAGUUUAUUAAUAUAGUCAUGCAACAAGCUUUUACUGAGCACUUGCCAUGUGCCUGGCACUGAGCCUUGUACUGGGAAGAUGUAGCUAUUGAGACAUAAUGACUGUCCAUCUGGGUAUCAGCUGUAGGUGCUCUGGUGUCCACUGGGGAAGGUUGUGUGGAAACACUGGGGUCCUACUGUGAAAGGGAGGGGCUGGUGGUAGGAUGUUACCACAGUGAUUUGUCAGUCAUUCAGUGAGAAGCAUCAGAAAAGGAGGAUUGGGAGACUUGAGAUCAGGCUACUUCUUCAAAGUGGAGAUUCUCCCUUUAUUGUUAACUGUAGAAAAUCUGUGUCAUUUUAUUACAGAGAAACAGUGAUCAGACUACCAAUCCCCAGAGGGAAAGUAGGGGAGGGUGGGGGU
This is an RNA transcript of Myotis myotis, 2053 nucleotides long. It is a transcript of the gene named mitochondrial ribosome recycling factor, with no coding region annotated. The record is from RefSeq and is a predicted model, not a curated record. Lineage: Eukaryota; Metazoa; Chordata; Mammalia; Chiroptera; Vespertilionidae. The transcript is spliced from 6 exons.